Molecule: small RNA, 712 nt
Filed under: Malus domestica (apple)
Lineage: Eukaryota; Viridiplantae; Streptophyta; Magnoliopsida; Rosales; Rosaceae
Description: sRNA MD03G0089000
Source: RNAcentral
ACGGCGAGAAGGAGAGGGUUUGAUCGGAGAUGAAGCCCUGUUUGAUCAUGGCUGACACCUCCUUCGAUUUCAGCGCGUUCUCGGCCGCCAUUGGAGCUCUGAUAGCUCGGUGGGGGAAUUAAGUGGGUGGUCAAGAAAACCCAGAAGUGGGAUUUUUCUGGGGAUGCAAGGAUGAAAGAAAGAUGGGUUCUUGGAGGAUUGGAGUGAGUGAAAGAACUGAAAUGUUCUAGGAAAGUAGAGAGAGAGAGAGAGAGAGAGAAAGAGAGAGAGAGAGAGGGAAAUUAAUAAAGAAUGGUUUCUCGGGAAGCAGACGGUAAAAUAUUUUCCGGGAAAAUUGAAAAAGUAGGAAUCCAAGAAAAUCGAGAGAGAGGUAAUGGUGUGAAUGAUUAUACCGAACCUGAGAAAAAGGGUUUGUUCAAGGAAGGAAGAAGGUAAUUAUAUUAACAGGAGUGACACUGUCAUUGCAUAUGUAGUGGCUAAAGCAAUAUAGGAAAUAACUUCCGUGCGACGGGUGAAUGAUAUCACUUGAGGAGCGCGAUUCUAUGUUCGUUUUUGCUCUGCCUUGGUGAUGCGCUCCUAGCUCGAAGAGCUACAUGCUGGAGAUAGGUUUAACGAUGAAUUUUGGCACUGAAGUUUUUCUACUGGUAAUCUUGAAGGGUGUUCGAGAUGAGAAACUGAUAUUUGGGAUGAUUACUCUUGAGAUAGUGUGGCU